AGUGAACGCUGGCGGUAGGCCUAACACAUGCGAGUCGAACGGCAGCACAGUAAGAGCUUGCUCUUACGGGUGGCGAGUGGCGGACGGGUGAGGAAUACAUCGGAAUCUACUUUUUCGUGGGGGAUAACGUAGGGAAACUUACGCUAAUACCGCAUACGACCUACGGGUGAAAGCAGGGGAUCUUCGGACCUUGCGCGAUUGAAUGAGCCGAUGUCGGAUUAGCUAGUUGGCGGGGUAAAGGCCCACCAAGGCGACGAUCCGUAGCUGGUCUGAGAGGAUGAUCAGCCACACUGGAACUGAGACACGGUCCAGACUCCUACGGGAGGCAGCAGUGGGGAAUAUUGCACAAUGGGCGCAAGCCUGAUCCAGCCAUACCGCGUGGGUGAAGAAGGCCUUCGGGUUGUAAAGCCCUUUUGUUGGGAAAGAAAAGCAGCAGGUUAAUACCCCGCUGUUCUGACGGUACCCAAAGAAUAAGCACCGGCUAACUUCGUG
Molecule: ribosomal RNA, 492 nt
Filed under: uncultured bacterium
Lineage: Bacteria
Description: partial 16S ribosomal RNA
Rfam family: Bacterial small subunit ribosomal RNA
Source: RNAcentral